UCACGUCCAGCAUCCAGGCAGCAGGUCAGAGAGUCAGAGGAGGGACGUCUUGGAAACUAGAGCAGCGACUUACCGGAGAAAAGUUAUUAGCUGAAGAUAACUCAUGAUAGAUUCUACAAGUUAAACAGACAUUCUCUGAAUAUUGACGUCCAGCUAACGCUACGUAGCGUACAUAUCAGUAGCUUCAGUUAAUUAGACCCAGUGCCAACUCUGUGUUGCUAACACGUUCCUCCGUGUUCGAGCCAACAGACACACCAGACUGAACGUCGACGACCUCUGCUGGUGCAGGUGCUACGUCAAAUCUGCCCCAUUACGCCCCCACAGCGCCGGAGCCCACCUAGACUGCACCCAGGCUGUCAGGAUCGGGAAGCUGAAGAGGAGGAAGCAUGAGGAGGGACAGGAAGCUUCGUCCAACUCGGUGCCGCUGGAGGACGAGUGGAACGAGAGGAGGAGGAUCCAGAUGACGUCUCUGGGCUUUAAAGGUGAGCAUCAGCGGAGGGUAAAGGAUGUGAAGCUGAAGAGGCGCUGAACUUUUCAGUCCGGAUUACAGCAGCAGGAUGCCGGAAGGUUCUCUGAACAUUUCCUUUAACNNNNNNNNNNGUC
This is a long non-coding RNA of Amphiprion ocellaris (clown anemonefish), 603 nucleotides long. NCBI's taxonomy places the organism in Eukaryota, Metazoa, Chordata, Actinopteri, Pomacentridae. The record is from Ensembl.